This 1491-nucleotide ribosomal RNA is filed under the name metagenome. Its description in RNAcentral is "bacterial SSU rRNA". It matches the Rfam family "Bacterial small subunit ribosomal RNA". The record is from RNAcentral.
AGAGUUUGAUCCUGGCUCAGAUUGAACGCUGGCGGCAUGCCUUACACAUGCAAGUCGAACGGCAGCACGAGAGCUUGCUCUUGGUGGCGAGUGGCGAACGGGUGAGUAAUAUAUCGGAACGUACCCUAGAGUGGGGGAUAACGUAGCGAAAGUUACGCUAAUACCGCAUACGAUCUACGGAUGAAAGUGGGGGAUCGCAAGACCUCAUGCUCAUGGAGCGGCCGAUAUCUGAUUAGCUAGUUGGUGGGGUAAAAGCUCACCAAGGCGACGAUCAGUAGCUGGUCUGAGAGGACGACCAGCCACACUGGAACUGAGACACGGUCCAGACUCCUACGGGAGGCAGCAGUGGGGAAUUUUGGACAAUGGGCGCAAGCCUGAUCCAGCAAUGCCGCGUGAGUGAAGAAGGCCUUCGGGUUGUAAAGCUCUUUUGUCAGGGAAGAAACGGUGGACUCUAAUACAGAUCACUAAUGACGGUACCUGAAGAAUAAGCACCGGCUAACUACGUGCCAGCAGCCGCGGUAAUACGUAGGGUGCAAGCGUUAAUCGGAAUUACUGGGCGUAAAGCGUGCGCAGGCGGUUGUGCAAGACAGAUGUGAAAUCCCCGGGCUCAACCUGGGAAUUGCAUUUGUGACUGCACGGCUAGAGUGUGUCAGAGGGGGGUAGAAUUCCACGUGUAGCAGUGAAAUGCGUAGAGAUGUGGAGGAAUACCGAUGGCGAAGGCAGCCCCCUGGGAUAACACUGACGCUCAUGCACGAAAGCGUGGGGAGCAAACAGGAUUAGAUACCCUGGUAGUCCACGCCCUAAACGAUGUCUACUAGUUGUCGGGUCUUAAUUGACUUGGUAACGCAGCUAACGCGUGAAGUAGACCGCCUGGGGAGUACGGUCGCAAGAUUAAAACUCAAAGGAAUUGACGGGGACCCGCACAAGCGGUGGAUGAUGUGGAUUAAUUCGAUGCAACGCGAAAAACCUUACCUACCCUUGACAUGUCUGGAAUCCUUGAGAGAUCAGGGAGUGCUCGAAAGAGAAUCAGAACACAGGUGCUGCAUGGCUGUCGUCAGCUCGUGUCGUGAGAUGUUGGGUUAAGUCCCGCAACGAGCGCAACCCUUGUCAUUAGUUGCUACGAAAGGGCACUCUAAUGAGACUGCCGGUGACAAACCGGAGGAAGGUGGGGAUGACGUCAAGUCCUCAUGGCCCUUAUGGGUAGGGCUUCACAUGUCAUACAAUGGUACAUACAGAGGGCCGCCAACCCGCGAGGGGGAGCUAAUCCCAGAAAGUGUAUCGUAGUCCGGAUUGUAGUCUGCAACUCGACUACAUGAAGUUGGAAUCGCUAGUAAUCGCGGAUCAGCAUGUCGCGGUGAAUACGUUCCCGGGUCUUGUACACACCGCCCGUCACACCAUGGGAGCGGGUUUCACCAGAAGUGGGUAGCCUAACCGCAAGGAGGGCGCUCACCACGGUGGGAUUCGUGACUGGGGUGAAGUCGUAACAAGGUA